Long non-coding RNA from Anolis carolinensis (green anole), 941 nucleotides. RefSeq lists it as uncharacterized. The transcript is spliced from 3 exons. The record is from RefSeq and is a predicted model, not a curated record. NCBI's taxonomy places the organism in Eukaryota, Metazoa, Chordata, Lepidosauria, Squamata, Anolidae.
UUAUUAUUAUUAUUAUUAUUAUUAUUAUUAUAUUAUUCCAGAGACUGGGUGCAGUUGUUCCCAAGACCACCAGUAACAAGAAAGUUCAGAAGCUACACCAGUGACUCUAAGACACUCCCUACUUUUAGAGAUGUCUAUAUAGAAAAAAACUGUGUCUUAAUUUUAAAGAAAUGCAGUAUUUAUACAAUAUACAUGCACAGGUAGUUCUCAAGUUAGGAAUAAGAUAGGCGAGAAGAGAAGAGUGGUGGGGGGGAGGAGUGGGCGGAUCUCGGUGCUCCUCCCAAUCAGGUGCGACUGAGAGGAGGAGAGCGAAGGGGUGAAACCUUUAAAAGGAAGGGCUUGGCUCAACCCAUCAUCCCCGCCUUCCGCCUCCUGGCCGACGUGAGCGCCUCCUUCUCCUCCUCUCUCUGAGCGUGCUAGCCUCGCAGCAUGUCAAAGAGCAUCCGUGGUCGCGCUCGGGCUCGGAGGCGCUGCCUGCGCCGCCUGACGUCACUUCUGCCACGGCUCCUCCAGAUGGUGGGCCUGCGGGACCCUCGAUGGAAGAGGCUGGUUGGCAAGAAGCGCCGCCGCUUCCGCAGGAGACCCCGUUCGGGGAAGCGGGGCUAGGAGCUCAGCCUUGGAACUGGAUUUCGACCACCGAGGAAACGACGCUUCUGGAGAAUGAAAGCAAUUUUGAGAAACUUUGACAUUCCCGGGGAUGUUGGAGUAUGAAGCGAGCCAAGUCUCCCCGUCUCCAAAGCGCGAUUUCCUCCUGUCCAGACGACGGCUGUCGGGGGCCUUGGAGAAACCUCGGGGAACGAUCGACACUCGAAUACAUUCCCUUUGCAUUUUUCUAAAUAAAGGGUUUUUGGCCUCGUCUGAGUUGGUGUGAAGAUCUUUUCUUUCCUUAUUAAAGUUUGGGUUGCUGGGAUAUUCUUCCCACAGAACUUGGGGCCCUUCCA